UGGGGAAUAUUGGACAAUGGGCGCAAGCCUGAUCCAGCCAUACCGCGUGGGUGAAGAAGGCCUUCGGGUUGUAAAGCCCUUUUGUUGGGAAAGAAAUCCUGUCGAUUAAUACUCGGUGGGGAUGACGGUACCCAAAGAAUAAGCACCGGCUAACUUCGUGCCAGCAGCCGCGGUAAUACGAAGGGUGCAAGCGUUACUCGGAAUUACUUGGCGUAAAGCGUGCGUAGGUGGUGGUUUAAGUCUGCUGUGAAAGCCCUGGGCUCAACCUGGGAAUUGCAGGGGAUACUGGAUCACUAGAGUGUGGUAGAGGGAUGCGGAAUUUCUGGUGUAGCAGUGAAAUGCGUAGAGAUCAGAAGGAACAUCCGUGGCGAAGGCGGCAUCCUGGGCCAACACUGACACUGAGGCACGAAAGCGUGGGGAGCAAACA
Molecule: ribosomal RNA, 427 nt
Filed under: uncultured prokaryote
Description: bacterial SSU rRNA
Rfam family: Bacterial small subunit ribosomal RNA
Source: RNAcentral